CCUACGGGGGGCAGCAGUGGGGAAUAUUGGGCAAUGGGCGCAAGCCUGACCCAGCAACGCCGCGUGAAGGAAGAAGGCUUUCGGGUUGUAAACUUCUUUUAUCAGGGACGAAGCAAGUGACGGUACCUGAUGAAUAAGCCACGGCUAACUACGUGCCAGCAGCCGCGGUAAUACGUAGGUGGCAAGCGUUAACCGGCUUUACUGGGUGUAAAGGGCGUGUAGGCGGGAGUGCAAGUCAGAGGUGAAAACUAUGGGCUCAACCCAUAGCCUGCAUUUGAAACUGUACUUCUUGUGUGCUGGAGAGCCCAUCGCCUUUCCGUGUGUAGCGGUGCAAUGCGUAGCUAUCCGGAGGAACCCCAGUGGCGCAGGCGGAUUGCUGGACCGUAACUGCCGCUGCGGCGC
This 402-nucleotide ribosomal RNA is filed under the name uncultured bacterium. RNAcentral describes it as "partial 16S ribosomal RNA". It matches the Rfam family "Bacterial small subunit ribosomal RNA", at positions 338 to 754 of the family's 1533-position model. The record is from RNAcentral.